UUAAGCGACUAAGCGUACACGGUGGAUGCCCUGGCAGUCAGAGGCGAUGAAGGACGUGCUAAUCUGCGAUAAGCGUCGGUGAGGUGAUAUGAACCGUUAUAACCGGCGAUUUCCGAAUGGGGAAACCCAGUGUGUUUCGACACACUAUCAUUAACUGAAUCCAUAGGUUAAUGAGGCGAACCGGGGGAACUGAAACAUCUAAGUACCCCGAGGAAAAGAAAUCAACCGAGAUUCCCCCAGUAGCGGCGAGCGAACGGGGAGGAGCCCAGAGCCUGAAUCAGUGUGUGUGUUAGUGGAAGCGUCUGGAAAGGCGCGCGAUACAGGGUGACAGCCCCGUACACAAAAAUGCACAUACUGUGAGCUCGAUGAGUAGGGCGGGACACGUGGUAUCCUGUCUGAAUAUGGGGGGACCAUCCUCCAAGGCUAAAUACUCCUGACUGACCGAUAGUGAACCAGUACCGUGAGGGAAAGGCGAAAAGAACCCCGGCGAGGGGAGUGAAAAAGAACCUGAAACCGUGUACGUACAAGCAGUGGGAGCCUCUUAAUGGGGUGACUGCGUACCUUUUGUAUAAUGGGUCAGCGACUUAUAUUCUGUAGCAAGGUUAACCGAAUAGGGGAGCCGAAGGGAAACCGAGUCUUAACUGGGCGUUAAGUUGCAGGGUAUAGACCCGAAACCCGGUGAUCUAGCCAUGGGCAGGUUGAAGGUUGGGUAACACUAACUGGAGGACCGAACCGACUAAUGUUGAAAAAUUAGCGGAUGACUUGUGGCUGGGGGUGAAAGGCCAAUCAAACCGGGAGAUAGCUGGUUCUCCCCGAAAGCUAUUUAGGUAGCGCCUCGUGAAUUCAUCUCCGGGGGUAGAGCACUGUUUCGGCAAGGGGGUCAUCCCGACUUACCAACCCGAUGCAAACUGCGAAUACCGGAGAAUGUUAUCACGGGAGACACACGGCGGGUGCUAACGUCCGUCGUGAAGAGGGAAACAACCCAGACCGCCAGCUAAGGUCCCAAAAGUCAUGGUUAAGUGGGAAAACGAUGUGGGAAGGCCCAGACAGCCAGGAUGUUGGCUUAGAAGCAGCCAUCAUUUAAGGAAAGCGUGAUAGCUCACUGGUCGAGUCGGCCUGCGCGGAAGAUGUAACGGGGCUAAACCAUGCACCGAAGCUGCGGCAGCGACACUAUGUGUUGUUGGGUAGGGGAGCGUUCUGUAAGCCUGUGAAGGUGGCCUGUGAGGGUUGCUGGAGGUAUCAGAAGUGCGAAUGCUGACAUAAGUAACGAUAAAGCGGGUGAAAAGCCCGCUCGCCGGAAGACCAAGGGUUCCUGUCCAACGUUAAUCGGGGCAGGGUGAGUCGACCCCUAAGGCGAGGCCGAAAGGCGUAGUCGAUGGGAAACAGGUUAAUAUUCCUGUACUUGGUGUUACUGCGAAGGGGGGACGGAGAAGGCUAUGUUGGCCGGGCGACGGUUGUCCCGGUUUAAGCGUGUAGGCUGGUUUUCCAGGCAAAUCCGGAAAAUCAAGGCUGAGGCGUGAUGACGAGGCACUACGGUGCUGAAGGACAAAUGCCCUGCUUCCAGGAAAAGCCUCUAAGCAUCAGGUAACAUCAAAUCGUACCCCAAACCGACACAGGUGGUCAGGUAGAGAAUACCAAGGCGCUUGAGAGAACUCGGGUGAAGGAACUAGGCAAAAUGGUGCCGUAACUUCGGGAGAAGGCACGCUGAUAUGUAGGUGAAGCGACUUGCUCGUGGAGCUGAAAUCAGUCGAAGAUACCAGCUGGCUGCAACUGUUUAUUAAAAACACAGCACUGUGCAAACACGAAAGUGGACGUAUACGGUGUGACGCCUGCCCGGUGCCGGAAGGUUAAUUGAUGGGGUUAGCGGCAACGCGAAGCUCUUGAUCGAAGCCCCGGUAAACGGCGGCCGUAACUAUAACGGUCCUAAGGUAGCGAAAUUCCUUGUCGGGUAAGUUCCGACCUGCACGAAUGGCGUAAUGAUGGCCAGGCUGUCUCCACCCGAGACUCAGUGAAAUUGAACUCGCUGUGAAGAUGCAGUGUACCCGCGGCAAGACGGAAAGACCCCGUGAACCUUUACUAUAGCUUGACACUGAACAUUGAGCCUUGAUGUGUAGGAUAGGUGGGAGGCUUUGAAGUGUGGACGCCAGUCUGCAUGGAGCCGACCUUGAAAUACCACCCUUUAAUGUUUGAUGUUCUAACGUUGGCCCGUACCGGGUUGCGGACAGUGUCUGGUGGGUAGUUUGACUGGGGCGGUCUCCUCCUAAAGAGUAACGGAGGAGCACGAAGGUUGGCUAAUCCUGGUCGGACAUCAGGAGGUUAGUGCAAUGGCAUAAGCCAGCUUGACUGCGAGCGUGACGGCGCGAGCAGGUGCGAAAGCAGGUCAUAGUGAUCCGGUGGUUCUGAAUGGAAGGGCCAUCGCUCAACGGAUAAAAGGUACUCCGGGGAUAACAGGCUGAUACCGCCCAAGAGUUCAUAUCGACGGCGGUGUUUGGCACCUCGAUGUCGGCUCAUCACAUCCUGGGGCUGAAGUAGGUCCCAAGGGUAUGGCUGUUCGCCAUUUAAAGUGGUACGCGAGCUGGGUUUAGAACGUCGUGAGACAGUUCGGUCCCUAUCUGCCGUGGGCGCUGGAGAACUGAGGGGGGCUGCUCCUAGUACGAGAGGACCGGAGUGGACGCAUCACUGGUGUUCGGGUUGUCAUGCCAAUGGCACUGCCCGGUAGCUAAAUGCGGAAGAGAUAAGUGCUGAAAGCAUCUAAGCACGAAACUUGCCCCGAGAUGAGUUCUCCCUGACCCUUUAAGGGUCCUGAAGGAACGUUGAAGACGACGACGUUGAUAGGCCGGGUGUGUAAGCGCAGCGAUGCGUUGAGCUAACCGGUACUAAUGAACCGUGAGGCUUAACCUU
RNAcentral lists this ribosomal RNA (2901 nucleotides) under Escherichia coli DEC2A. RNAcentral describes it as "bacterial LSU rRNA". It matches the Rfam family "Bacterial large subunit ribosomal RNA". The record is from RNAcentral. Lineage: Bacteria; Pseudomonadati; Pseudomonadota; Gammaproteobacteria; Enterobacterales; Enterobacteriaceae.